RNAcentral lists this long non-coding RNA (626 nucleotides) under Athene cunicularia (burrowing owl). Its description in RNAcentral is "lncRNA (ENSACUG00000002722.1)". The record is from RNAcentral. Lineage: Eukaryota; Metazoa; Chordata; Aves; Strigiformes; Strigidae.
CUUCCAGCCUUGGUCUGCCUGGUAACGACAUCUGUCCUGUGGGGCAUUUCUGCCCCCGGGGUACAGGGUACCCCAUGCCCUGUCCUCCCGGAUCCUUCUCUCCCACCGUGGGCCUGGAGGCGGAGGAGCAGUGCCGGCCCUGCCCGGCCGGGCGCUACUGCAGCGCGGCGGGGCUGGCUGGCCUGGCCCAGACCUCGCUCUGCAACCCGGGGUAUGUUUGCCUGGAAGGAAACUCUGUGCCCUGCCCUUCUGAUGGGACUCAUGGAUACAGGUGUCCCAGUGGCUUCUACUGCCCUGCAGGCACUGGGCUAGAAGUGCCCUGUGAGCCUGGCACCUUCAGCCCUGCGCCUGGGGCCAGUGCCUGCCUCCCAUGCCCGGCCGGUAUGGCCUGCAGCAACGCCACCACUGUGGAGCCCCUCAGCUGUCCCAGAGGUUACUACUGUCCAGCUCAGACCGCUGUCCCCCUGCCAUGCCCUGAGGGGACGCUGAACACCUUGGAGGGGGCACUGGCCCCCAGCGCCUGCAAGCUGUGCCCAGUGGGGAGGUACUGCAGAGGAGAUGCCAACUGGGAACCUGACGCACAGAGUAAUUGUCACUGGGCUGAAAUGCAAAGGUUGGACACAUGA